This 963-nucleotide long non-coding RNA is filed under the name Homo sapiens (human). Its description in RNAcentral is "HSALNT0016477". Lineage: Eukaryota; Metazoa; Chordata; Mammalia; Primates; Hominidae. The record is from RNAcentral.
GUUGCUCAGGCUGGUCUCGAACUCCUAACCUCAGGUGAUCCGCCCAGCUCAGCCUCCCAAAGUGCUGUGAUUACAGGCAUGAGCCACUGCGCCCAGCCUCAGAAUCUCAAGAAGGAGAAUGUGGUAGAAGAUACUGAGCAAUGGGAUAGUAAAGAGUUGGGGACAGAGUUAAGUUUUAUAAGGAAUUAGGGAUACGAGAAGCUCUAAGAGCCAAGAUUUGGGUUAUUCAAUUCAGAAUGGGGAAGGAACCUCAGCUUCAUGAUGGUAAAAAAUUCCACCACCUUUGCCCAGAAAAAAGUGAUUCACAUCCUGAUAUCACUGUGUACUCAGGGAAAUAGCUCCCCACAAGGCAUUGCAUUAGGGAGAAACUAUGGUGAGGAACAGUGAUGAGCAGGGCAUGAAGAGUGAUUGUCCUAAGCCAGAUGUGAUGUCAUGAGGGUGAACUCCAGGACCUCCUGUCCUUCAGGACGGUCCCACAGUCUCACUGACCACUGAGGCCAGAUGCAUAAAAGCUUUGCCUUCCCAGAGACUGAUCGGGGAAAAGGUACUGGCACAGCCUCUUCAGUUCCUGGCAUGGAAGGGCAGAGACUAGCCCACAUUGAAAGUGGCCUCUUUCAGUGUAGGGAUGAUGGGAGGAUCCUUGUGUCCUGGGCUACCCUAGGUCUCAUCUGAUCUUGCAUAGUGAAAGCUACUCAUGGGAGAACUCCGUUAGCCGGGAAGCCCUUAGAAUGGAAUCUUUCCUAACAUUGACUCCAGUUUCUGGAAGUAUAUGCCAUUCUUCUCCAUUCUCUGUAGCACUGUGGGCUUACCCUCUGAAGAGAAUGUUUGUUGGUUGCCACCUCAGCAUUACAACAUCCCAUUCCCUUCUUAAGGGUACCCUAAAUUUGUCAGCCAUAGAGUUUGAGUAGGAUUAGUCUUACCCCAGACCUCAGGAGUAGCCCAGGACACAAGGAUCCUCCCAUA